GACAGAGGGUGCAAACGUUGUUCGGAAUUACUGGGCGUAAAGCGUGUGUAGGCGGUCUCAAAAGUCGGAUGUGAAAGCCCCGGGCUCAACCCGGGAAGUGCAUUCGAAACUGCGAGGCUAGAGUAUCGGAGAGGUUGGUGGAAUUCUCGGUGUAGAGGUGAAAUUCGUAGAUAUCGAGAGGAACACCGGUGGCGAAGGCGGCCAACUGGACGAAUACUGACGCUGAGACACGAAAGCGUGGGGAGCAAACAGG
RNAcentral lists this ribosomal RNA (253 nucleotides) under uncultured bacterium. RNAcentral describes it as "partial 16S ribosomal RNA". It matches the Rfam family "Bacterial small subunit ribosomal RNA", at positions 524 to 776 of the family's 1533-position model. The record is from RNAcentral.